AACGGCGUACUUUUUGGCCAUCGAGAUCUCGUUUCAGUUUCUGCAGCCCUAUCGAUCCGACGAUCUCAAGAUCGGCGUGGCGUGGCGUAGCGUAGCGUAGCGGUCGGGAAGAUGGCGGCGGCCGGGCGGCAUCUGGGAAUGACAGCGGUGGCCGUGCUCGCGGUGGCGGCCUCUCUCUUCGGCCUAUCGGACGCCUCCGCCGCCAAGAAGGUGGCUUUCGUCAAGAAGACCGUGUCCUCCCACGAUAUCGUCAUCUUCUCCAAGUCCUACUGUCCGUACUGCAGAAAAGCUAAAGCUGUUUUCAAGGAACUAAAGAAGGAACCUUAUGUUGUGGAGUUGGAUCAGAGAGAGGACGGAUAUGAAAUUCAAGAUGCCUUGUCUGAGAUGGUUGGGAGGCGUACAGUGCCUCAAGUGUUUAUCCAGGGAAAGCACUUGGGUGGCUCAGAUGAUACUGUUGAAGCAUAUGAAAGCGGAAAGCUUCUGACACUUAUUGGUAUUGACUCAAAAGAUGAUCUUUAAACGAUAUUGUGUAUCUCAUUCAUCAAUCAAUCGGGAGAUGGAUGGGCUGAAUCUUUCAGAAGAUGCAAACUAUGAAUCACUUGCAUGUUUACGUGGCCAUAUCACAGUGAACCAUAGAACUUUGGGAUAUAUACACUGCUGGUUUUUUAUAUUUAUUAGCUUGAUCUAGAGAAUCUAGAUGUUCGUUGAAUUACUAGUGUUGUUGGCAUAAUCAUAUUGUUAUAAAAAGUUAUCUUUGAUCCUUGUACAAUUUUA
RNA transcript from Musa acuminata AAA Group (dessert banana), 774 nucleotides. It is a transcript of the gene named glutaredoxin-C8-like, with no coding region annotated. The record is from RefSeq and is a predicted model, not a curated record. The transcript is spliced from 5 exons. Lineage: Eukaryota; Viridiplantae; Streptophyta; Magnoliopsida; Zingiberales; Musaceae.